AGUGAACGCUGGCGGUAGGCCUAACACAUGCAAGUCGAACGGCAGCACAGUAAGAGCUUGCUCUUACGGGUGGCGAGUGGCGGACGGGUGAGGAAUACAUCGGAAUCUACUUUUUCGUGGGGGAUAACGUAGGGAAACUUACGCUAAUACCGCAUACGACCUACGGGUGAAAGCAGGGGAUCUUCGGACCUUGCGCGAGUGAAUGAGCCGAUGUCGGAUUAGCUAGUUGGCGGGGUAAAGGCCCACCAAGGCGACGAUCCGUAGCUGGUCUGAGAGGAUGAUCAGCCCCACUGGAACUGAGACACGGUCCAGACUCCUACGGGAGGCAGCAGUGGGGAAUAUUGGACAAUGGGCGCAAGCCUGAUCCAGCCAUACCGCGUGGGUGAAGAAGGCCUUCGGGUUGUAAAGCCCUUUUGUUGGGAAAGAAAAGCAGCAGGUUAAUACCCCGCUGUUCUGACGGUACCCAAAGAAUAAGCACCGGCUAACUUCGUG
This 492-nucleotide ribosomal RNA is filed under the name uncultured bacterium. RNAcentral's name for it is "partial 16S ribosomal RNA". It matches the Rfam family "Bacterial small subunit ribosomal RNA", at positions 29 to 507 of the family's 1533-position model. The record is from RNAcentral.